GAAUGUGAAUAAAUAGCAGAGUGCAGUAAACGCUCGACGUUCUACAGGGAAACUUCACCUUUAAGCUACAACACAAGGACACACACCAUAUGGCCACACACACACACACACACACACACACACACACACACACACACGACAAUCGCCCUUGGUGUUUAUCUCUAAAAUGUCUACAUGUGACACCGGGGUCAGUGGGGUCAUAAACACUCACCACUCUACUGUACGACCGCCAAAGAACUGAAAGAAAGAACUGAGCGAAUGAACAAAAGAAAGAAGCGACGGAAGAACAAAGUAAAUGAGAAACCCGAGUGAAGGAACCGAACGAGAACCGCGCAAAUGAAGAAAAGAAAGAACGCAAUGACGGAAUAAUUCGAAUGAAAGAACGGAAUGAAAGCACGAACAAAAUAACUAGAAGAACCCAAGGAAAGAAAGAAAGAAAGAGAGGAAUUGUGGGUAAAUGUUUCGUUAGUACACUAGUCACACUGCUCAAGCGUUUCUGUUUUUGUUAAACGAGGAACGCAGGAACAUCUCGCCGAUUGAAAUCCACCUCCUGCUCAUUUGUUUGUUCUUGAACUCCAGCGUGGACAGAAAAGGAAAAGGAAACUCUAAACACAGCUACGAAAGCAACACACGGCUCGCACCGUAACACCAUAACGCCACACCGAGAGCUUAAACGGAGAAACCCGUUAAAGGGAACACGCCACAGGUGACACUGGUAAAGUAACAAGCACACCAGAACAGGAAACAGCGACCAUAUAAGGACAAGUGGAGCGCUAAACGGGAGGAACCGUGAACGAAGAAGCCGGCAGGACGACAGAACCGAACUGUGACACAUUUAUUAUCAGACGUAUAUUAAACAUCUGUAACCAUAUCUACUUGCUGCUAUACAACAUUAUAUUUAUUUAUUAUAAAUUUAUUAUAUUUCUACAGAUGAAUAUUAACCUUUUUUUUUUUUAAAUAGUUCAAAUAUAAAUCCUCUUGGAUUAACACACGUACCUUUAAGCUUUCUUUUUAUGUUUUUUUUUUUUUUAAAGCAAUUAAUUUAGAACACGCUCUAAAAUAAACACACACACACACACACACACACACACACACGGAGAUGACUGACGGUUGUUUUGCUGCCGAAAAGCAAAGUAAGAACCGAUUUCUGGCAACCGAGGAUACAUUUUUAAAUCUCAAAAUAACUUCCCCGCUCUCGGCUGUUGGCCUGCAGUGUGUGUGUGUGUGUGUGUGCGUGUGUGUGUGUGUGUGUGUGUGAGAGUGUGUGAGAGUGUGUGUGAGUGCUUAAUCAGAGUUAUGUACAGCUCAAAGGAGGAUUAGGCCAAACGCCACACCCCGAGGCCCAGCGUGUACCACUUAAAUCCGUUACAAUUAAAAAUAAACACAAACAAAAACACCAACAAACCGACGAACCGACGAACCGACGAACCCCUUCUCACUUCAUGUGUCUUUUCUGUUGCUCGUAUUAAAUAAAUAAAUAAAUAAAUAACUUCACAGUGGAGCUUCAGACCGCUCGAAUAGUUUUACACUGUUAGUGUCUCUCUCUCUCUCUCUCUCUCUCUCUCUCUCUCUAUCUGUCUCUGUGUCUCUCUCUGUGUCUGUCUUUCUCUCUCUCUGUGUGUCUUUCUCUCUCUCUCUGUGUCUUUCUCUAUCUCUCUCUCUGUGUCUGUCUUUCUCUAUCUCUCUCUGUGUGUCUGUCUUUCUCUAUCUCUCUCUGUGUGUCUUUAUCUCUCUCUCUCUGUCUCUCUUUCUCUAUCUCUCUCUCUGUGUCUCUGUCUUUAUCUCUCUCUCUCUGUGUCUCUCUUUCUCUAUCUCUCUGUGUCUCUGUCUUUAUCUCUCUCUCUAUCUCUCUGUCUCUCUUUCUCUAUCUCUCUCUCUCUCUGUGUCUCUCUUUCUCUAUCUCUCUCUCUCUGUGUCUGUCUUUCUCUCUCUAUCUCUCUCUGUGUCUCUUUCUCUAUCUCUCUCUCUGUGUCUCUCUUUCUCUAUCUCUCUCUCUAUCUCUCUCUAUGUCUCUCUUUCUCUAUCUCUCUCUGUGUCUCUUUCUCUCUCUCUGUCUUUAUCUCUAUCUCUCUCUCUGUGUCUCUCUGUCUUUCUCUAUCUCUCUCUGUGUGUCUCUCUCUGUCUCUCCCUCUCUCUCUCCCUCUCUCUCUCAUGUCAGCUGGUACAGAAUGAGUUCAUACCUUUAUCUCUCUCUGUCUUUCUCUAUCUCUCUCUGUCUCUCCCUCUCUCUCUCCCUCUCUCUCUCAUGUCAGCUGGUACAGAAUGAGUUCAUACCUUUAGGUCAGAUGUUAUUGUUUAAAACGUCUGAUUAAACGUGUACACAGUUACACAAGUAAAGCAGUCUCAUUUAGCGGACUCUUUCGUACGGAGGACUAGUAAUAAUCUUACAUCUGGCCACUGUUUGGUGACUCUAAAACAGCGGCUCCUUGCUAAAACUGAAGAUACGUAAACUCCUGAGGAGCACGCUUUGUGUAAGAGGCGUUCAGCACUUUGGCACUGUGGUUUCCUGAAAGGCUUUGAAUUUGAAUUUUAUAUAACAACAUAAAAUAUUCGAAUUGAACGUGUCAUGCUGAUUUAUUAACGAAUACACGACGUGUACAGGAAAUGUGGUUUGGUUUAUUCUCCGGUGUUAGUUUUUUUCCUCGGUCGCCUCGGUACAUUUCCCCGAAUCGCGCUUAACAUUCAAGUGCGUUUAAGUAAGCGCUUUUCUCCGAACACCACACAACGCAAACGCUCCCUGCAAAAGCAUGCAACUUGCUCGGAAUCAUCUCUCGGAAGUAAAUAUUUCAGUCUGGGAACAUCUCCGGGCCGUGAGAACGCCAAGGUAGAGAGAACGCGUAGCCGUGUUGUCAAUAUAACAGCGUACUCACACUGCCAGUAUCUCCUACUGUCUAUACAUCUAGGAGAACUGGCUCAGCCGUGUCGCACCGAAUGAUUUAUGCAGUGAAGUGAUGUCCAGAUGUUCUGGGGGGUAAAGACUUUUCCACAGAGAAGCAGUAUAAUAUAUUUUGAUGAACAUGACAGAAGCAGUUGAUAAUGUAGGGAACUGCAAACAGCUGCACAUAAUCAACUGCAUGAACGUGACUAGAUGAUGAGGAGGUUGAAGACGUGGUGCUGACAGUUUCAGUUCUGAUCCGAGAAAUGUACCGAAGCAGCUGAGAAAAACUGCCCGUGUUCCACAGCGUCGUCUUUACCUCCCCAUUCCCUGUGCACGCAGCUGCGGAGACAUGACAGACACGGAAGACAGACAGACAGACAGACAGACAGACAGACAGACAGAUAGAAAGAUCGAUAGAUAGAUAGAUAGAUAGACAGAUAGAUAGAAAGAUCAAUAGAUAGAUAGACAGAUAGCUUGAUAGAUAGAUAGACAGAUAGACAGAUAUAGAUCAAGAGAUAGACAGACAUAGAUAGAUAGAUCAAUAGAUAGAUAGAAAGAUCAAUAGAUAGAUAGACAGACAGACAGAUAGAUAGAUAGAUCGAUCAAUAGAUAGAUAGACAGAUAG
Molecule: long non-coding RNA, 3503 nt
Organism: Ictalurus punctatus (channel catfish)
Lineage: Eukaryota; Metazoa; Chordata; Actinopteri; Siluriformes; Ictaluridae
Source: Ensembl